RNAcentral lists this ribosomal RNA (552 nucleotides) under uncultured bacterium. RNAcentral's name for it is "bacterial SSU rRNA". It matches the Rfam family "Bacterial small subunit ribosomal RNA", at positions 355 to 896 of the family's 1533-position model. The record is from RNAcentral.
UGGGGAAUAUUGGACAAUGGGCGAAAGCCUGAUCCAGCCAUGCCGCGUGUGUGAAGAAGGUCUUCGGAUUGUAAAGCACUUUAAGUUGGGAGGAAGGGCAGUAAGUUAAUACCUUGCUGUUUUGACGUUACCAACAGAAUAAGCACCGGCUAACUUCGUGCCAGCAGCCGCGGUAAUACGAAGGGUGCAAGCGUUAAUCGGAAUUACUGGGCGUAAAGCGCGCGUAGGUGGUUCAGCAAGUUGGAUGUGAAAUCCCCGGGCUCAACCUGGGAACUGCAUCCAAAACUACUGAGCUAGAGUACGGUAGAGGGUGGUGGAAUUUCCUGUGUAGCGGUGAAAUGCGUAGAUAUAUGGAGGAACACCAGUGGCGAAGGCGACUCUCUGGUCUGUAACUGACGCUGAGGCUCGAAAGCGUGGGUAGCAAACAGGAUUAGAUACCCUGGUAGUCCACGCCGUAAACGAUGAGUGCUAAGUGUUGGAGGGUUUCCGCCCUUCAGUGCUGCAGUUAACGCAUUAAAGCACUCCGCCUGGGGAGUACGACCGCAAAGGUUG